AUACGUAGGUGGCAAGCGUUGUCCGGAAUUAUUGGGCGUAAAGCGCAUGUAGGCGGUUUGGUAAGUCGGUCGUGAAAAUGCGGUGCUUAACGCCGUAUGGCGAUUGAAACUGCUGAACUUGAGUGCAGGAGAGGAAAGGGGAACUCCCAGUGUAGCGGUGAAAUGCGUAGAUAUUGGGAAGAACACCGGUGGCGAAGGCGCCUUUCUGGACUGUGUCUGACGCUCAGAUGCGAAAGCCAGGGUACCGAACGGGAUUAGAUCCCCCGGGAGUCCUGGCCGUAAACGAUGGGUACUAGGUGUGGGAGGUAUCGACUCCUUCCGUGCCGGAGUUAACGCAAUAAGUACCCCGCCUGGGGAGUACGGCCGCAAGGCUUAAACUCAAAGGAAUUGACGGGG
RNAcentral lists this ribosomal RNA (396 nucleotides) under uncultured bacterium. RNAcentral's name for it is "partial 16S ribosomal RNA". It matches the Rfam family "Bacterial small subunit ribosomal RNA", at positions 523 to 918 of the family's 1533-position model. The record is from RNAcentral.